This 613-nucleotide ribosomal RNA is filed under the name uncultured bacterium. RNAcentral's name for it is "bacterial SSU rRNA". It matches the Rfam family "Bacterial small subunit ribosomal RNA", at positions 32 to 641 of the family's 1533-position model. The record is from RNAcentral.
AACGCUGGCGGCAUGCCUUAACAUGCAAGUCGAACGGCAGCACGGGGGCAACCCUGGUGGCGAGUGGCGAACGGGUGAGUAAUACAUCGGAACGUGUCCUGGAGUGGGGGAUAGCCCGGCGAAAGCCGGAUUAAUACCGCAUACGCUCUGUGGAGGAAAGCGGGGGAUCUUCGGACCUCGCGCUCAAGGGGCGGCCGAUGGCGGAUUAGCUAGUUGGUGGGGUAAAGGCCUACCAAGGCGACGAUCCGUAGCUGGUCUGAGAGGACGACCAGCCACACUGGGACUGAGACACGGCCCAGACUCCUACGGGAGGCAGCAGUGGGGAAUUUUGGACAAUGGGGGCAACCCUGAUCCAGCAAUGCCGCGUGUGUGAAGAAGGCCUUCGGGUUGUAAAGCACUUUUGUCCGGAAAGAAAACCUCUGCCCUAAUAUGGCGGGGGGAUGACGGUACCGGAAGAAUAAGCACCGGCUAACUACGUGCCAGCAGCCGCGGUAAUACGUAGGGUGCGAGCGUUAAUCGGAAUUACUGGGCGUAAAGCGUGCGCAGGCGGUUCGCUAAGACCGAUGUGAAAUCCCCGGGCUUAACCUGGGAACUGCAUUGGUGACUGGCGGGC